Nycticebus coucang (slow loris) is the source of this 508-nucleotide long non-coding RNA. RefSeq lists it as uncharacterized. The record is from RefSeq and is a predicted model, not a curated record. NCBI's taxonomy places the organism in Eukaryota, Metazoa, Chordata, Mammalia, Primates, Lorisidae. The transcript is spliced from 3 exons.
ACUCCCGUACAGACUCCAAACCCUCACCUGAAGACUGUGUUAGACCCCAAACCCUCACCUGAAGACCUCUCUGGAUGGAGCCAUCGUUGAAGUACUGGGAGUGGAGAAGCAGAUAGUCCUGGAGGUGUGUGAUAACAUGCACGGGGAUCAGAGGGAUUCUUUGUCUUGGAUAAAUUUGAAAGCAGUUUUGGAUGAAAUUAUUUGCUGAAAUGUGAUGGUGUCAGAGUCCUGACCCUGUCCUGCAGAAGACAGGAGGAACAAAGCUGCAACCAGGACCAGAACAAGGAAAUGGGGGCUGCUUGCCUUGGGGGUGGGGCCCCUGAAACCUGCUGCCCCUCACCUCGCCCCCACUGCUGACGUCACAGUUCACUCUGUGGCCUUCACUCCCAAUUCCAUUACCAUGGCCACACACUUCAUGACUGGGGCAGCUGCACUGAAUCCUUGAAUCCAUGGAACAUGCUUUUAAAAGGGACCAGGAGAGAAGGGAAAAGAUUUAUCACCCUAUUAG